AUGGACCAGAUCAUGAACAAGAUGGGCUCCUACUGGCUGGGGCAGAGGGCCAACAAAGAGAUGUCGUCGGCCGGUGACGAUAUCGAGUCGCUCUCGACCAGCGUCGGGGACGGAGCAAAAUGGCUGGUGAACAAGCUCAAGGGUAAGAUGCAGAAGCCGCUGGCGGAGCUGCUCCAGGAGCACGACCUGCCGGUGGGGCUGUUCCCGCGGGAGGCCACCAACUACGAGUUCGAGCCGGAGACGCGGCGGCUGACGGUGCACAUCCCGGCAGUCUGCGAGGUCGGCUACAGGGACGGCUCCGAGCUGCGCUUCGACACCACGGUGGCCGGCACGCUGGACAAGGGCAGCCUGACGGGGGUGGAGGGCCUCAAAGCCAAGGUGCUCGUCUGGGCCAGGGUCACCGCCGUCAAGGCCGACGCCGCAAAGGUCUACUUCGCCGUAGGCAUCAAGAAGUCGCGCAGCCGCGAGGCAUACGAGAUCAUCAGAGGCGCCAUCACCGUCGACGAGUUCUAG
RNAcentral lists this ribosomal RNA (513 nucleotides) under Triticum aestivum (bread wheat). RNAcentral's name for it is "partial small subunit ribosomal RNA". The record is from RNAcentral. Lineage: Eukaryota; Viridiplantae; Streptophyta; Magnoliopsida; Poales; Poaceae.